Molecule: non-coding RNA, 862 nt
Organism: Oryctolagus cuniculus (rabbit)
Lineage: Eukaryota; Metazoa; Chordata; Mammalia; Lagomorpha; Leporidae
Source: RefSeq, a predicted model, not a curated record
UUUACACACAGUGUUAGGUCACAGGUUGCUAUUUACGGGGAAACCUUUAAGCCAAAUUUCUUCACAUACUCUUGGCUCUUCUAUUUGUUGGUUGCCGAUGACUGGUCACUACCUCUCCAAGGGAACCUAGGGACACCUUGGAAGCAUGAGAUGGCUUUGAAGUGGAGACAAAUGAAAUCCUUAAGCUUCCCGGGGAGGGAUGGAGCCAUCUCUCAGAAGUCACAGCCUCUGAUUCCAGGCCAGAAUGUUUAGGGCACGUAACAACUUUGAGCAAGGAGCCUUGGGCAUCCGCUGGGGGUCUUGGGACAUAUCCUCUUCAAAUAAGGUGAGAUCAUUGUACCCUAAACUCCAUCUCGGAGUCCACUGCCUUGGGGAGCCCGAGCUGUGAGCCAGGCCGUGAGGAAGUGCUCAAACCUGGAGUUAUUCUGUCUCCCAACUGUGGCUUUUUUUUUUUUUUUUAAGAUUUAUUUAUUUAUUUGAAAGUUAGAGUUACACAGAGAGAGGAGAGGCAGAGACACACACACACACACACACACACACACAGAGAGAGAGAGAGAGUCUUCCAUCCACUGGUUCACUCCCUAAUUGGCUGCAACAGCUGGAGCUGCGCCCAUCCAAAGCCAUGAGCCAGGAGUUUCUUCCAGGUCUCCCAUGUGGGUGCAAGGGCCCAAGGACUUGGGCCAUCCUCUGCUGCUUUCCCAUGCACAUUAGCAGGAAGCUGGAUCAGAAGUGGAGCAGCUAGGACCCAAAGUGGUGACCAUAUGGGUUGCUGGCACUAUAGCCAGUGGCUUAACCGGUUAUACCACAGCAUUGGCCCCUAAGAUGUGCAUUUUUAAUAAUAGUGUCUACUUUUAGAAAACCG